AGGAAUAAAAGGAAAAAUAAAAACAUUAUAUGAAGAUUUUCAUGUAUAUGAAAUAACAAAACGUAAUGUAAUUUUACAUUUAAAUGAGUUGAUAACUAAAGAGAAAAUAAAUGAAAUUUUAAAUAAUUAUAAAAAAAAAAAAGAGAGUAACAUGUUAUUAAAUAUAACUAACCCUGAAUUAUCUAUUCAUUUUUUAAGCAAAUAUAUAAAUCAUUUUAACACUUUAGUUUUUAAAAAAUUUUUACAUAUGCUUUACAAAAUAUAUUUAUUAAAAAAAAAAGAAGAGGAACAAAAUUGUUAUAAUACCAUUAAUAGUAAUAGUGACAGUGAUAGUGAUAAUAAUAACAACAAUAUGAAUAAUGUGAAUAAUAUGAAUCAUAUGAAUAAUAUGAAUAAUAUGAAUAAUAUGAAUAAAACUAAACACACGGGUGUAGAUAUUGCAAAGGAUUUUUCGGUCCCGUAUUGUUUUUUGAUUAUCACCGAAGGUGAUCUAAGUGCAAAAGAGACAACAUGCAAAAACGCAGCUUCAAAAAUAUUAAGUGACAAUUCAAUCGAAAAAAUAAAAAUAAUAAGAAAAAAUAUUCAUAAUGCUAUAAAAAUGUACUACCCAUUUUUAAACACUGAAACGGUUAAAUAUAAUGAAGCACAAGCAAUUAUAUCAGAUGGUAAUAUAUUAAAUGGUAUUACUGAUUAUAUGGAUAUUAUAAAAGAUAGUAGCACUGGUAUUAAUGGACUAGGUACCGAAAAAAAUGACGAACUGAAUAACACAAUAGAUAAUAAAAUAAACAACAUAAGUGAUAAUUAUAAAAACGUAAGUAGUGUUAUUAAAGUAUACCCAUCAUUUUCUUGCUUAAAUUUUAUUAUGCCUUCAAUUUUAUUUAAUAAAAUAAAAAAAAAGUGCCAGUUAACUGCACGUUUUAAUGAUAAUAAUAAUAAUAUAGAAAAUAUAUUAUAUGAUUACCAAUGUGAACUAAGCAAUAAAAAGGUACACAUUUCUAGUAGUAAUAAAAAAAAUGAACAAAAUAAUGUAAGUGACGUUUAUUUAAAAAAAGAAAAUACAUGUAUGGACAUGAAGAAAGAUAGUGUUAACAUAUGUGUUGGUAGUAGCAAUAGUAUCAGUAGCAGUAGCAGUAGUAAUAGUAGUAGCAGUAGCAGUAGUAGUAGUAGUAGUAGUAGUAGUAGUAUUAACAAUGAACAUACUGCUGGAAUGAAAAAAAGAAAAAUAAUGCUCAACAAUGGAUUGUCUGGCGAGCGUAACAAUUCAGACACGUGUAAUCAAGUCGAUUACACACGCAGCGAAGUGCUGUACACAUCUUUGAGCGAUAAACACAAGCAUAGUCAAACAUUUUUAGAUACACUUAACGAAAAAAAAAAAAAAAAAAAAACAACAAAAGAAAGCAAAACAAUAUGUU
This 1412-nucleotide long non-coding RNA is filed under the name Piliocolobus tephrosceles (Ugandan red Colobus). Its description in RNAcentral is "lncRNA (ENSPTEG00000005894.1)". The record is from RNAcentral. Lineage: Eukaryota; Metazoa; Chordata; Mammalia; Primates; Cercopithecidae.